GACGGUUUAUUCCAACCCGCGAAACACAAUUUUCUGCAAGGUGAUCAGAAUAAUUAGUUUGUUAACUAUGAAAAGUUAUUUUCUUUUAGAUUUUUUUUCUUACUAUGAAAAGUUUAUGUAAUUACGUACUAAUUAGUCAAGGCAGUCUUACGAUUGCUUAAACGAUGUAACAUGAAGUGCAGAAUCCAUUAAUCUGACGGGCCAUUCCUUAGUCCAUACCAUCC
RNAcentral lists this long non-coding RNA (224 nucleotides) under Capsella rubella. Its description in RNAcentral is "long non-coding RNA (CRUB_LNC001814)". The record is from RNAcentral. Lineage: Eukaryota; Viridiplantae; Streptophyta; Magnoliopsida; Brassicales; Brassicaceae.